Molecule: ribosomal RNA, 936 nt
Filed under: Escherichia coli
Lineage: Bacteria; Pseudomonadati; Pseudomonadota; Gammaproteobacteria; Enterobacterales; Enterobacteriaceae
Description: partial 23S ribosomal RNA
Rfam family: Bacterial large subunit ribosomal RNA
Source: RNAcentral
GGGUUGUGAGGUUAAGCGACUAAGCGUACACGGUGGAUGCCCUGGCAGUCAGAGGCGAUGAAGGACGUGCUAAUCUGCGAUAAGCGUCGGUAAGGUGAUAUGAACCGUUAUAACCGGCGAUUUCCGAAUGGGGAAACCCAGUGUGUUUCGACACACUAUCAUUAACUGAAUCCAUAGGUUAAUGAGGCGAACCGGGGGAACUGAAACAUCUAAGUACCCCGAGGAAAAGAAAUCAACCGAGAUUCCCCCAGUAGCGGCGAGCGAACGGGGAGCAGCCCAGAGCCUGAAUCAGUGUGUGUGUUAGUGGAAGCGUCUGGAAAGGCGUGCGAUACAGGGUGACAGCCCCGUACACAAAAAUGCACAUGCUGUGAGCUCGAUGAGUAGGGCGGGACACGUGGUAUCCUGUCUGAAUAUGGGGGGACCAUCCUCCAAGGCUAAAUACUCCUGACUGACCGAUAGUGAACCAGUACCGUGAGGGAAAGGCGAAAAGAACCCCGGCGAGGGGAGUGAAAAAGAACCUGAAACCGUGUACGUACAAGCAGUGGGAGCACGCUUAGGCGUGUGACUGCGUACCUUUUGUAUAAUGGGUCAGCGACUUAUAUUCUGUAGCAAGGUUAACCGAAUAGGGGAGCCGAAGGGAAACCGAGUCUUAACUGGGCGUUAAGUUGCAGGGUAUAGACCCGAAACCCGGUGAUCUAGCCAUGGGCAGGUUGAAGGUUGGGUAACACUAACUGGAGGACCGAACCGACUAAUGUUGAAAAAUUAGCGGAUGACUUGUGGCUGGGGGUGAAAGGCCAAUCAAACCGGGAGAUAGCUGGUUCUCCCCGAAAGCUAUUUAGGUAGCGCCUCGUGAAUUCAUCUCCGGGGGUAGAGCACUGUUUCGGCAAGGGGGUCAUCCCGACUUACCAACCCGAUGCAAACUGCGAAUACCGGAGA